CAGAACAGAGCUUGAUUAGUUAAGCGUCUCAUUUACAUUGAGUUCAUAUUCGUGCAAGUCGAUUUGUUUUGA
This 72-nucleotide transfer RNA is filed under the name Leptodora kindtii. Its description in RNAcentral is "tRNA-Val". Lineage: Eukaryota; Metazoa; Arthropoda; Branchiopoda; Diplostraca; Leptodoridae. The record is from RNAcentral.